GCCUGGCCGCAGCACCUGCCAGAUCGCAUGGCUGCCUCUUCCCACAAGGUGGUAAAUGUAUGAAUGAGUCAAAUCCUACAGCUUCCAGAAUGACCUUGCGGGAAGUGUGGUGCAAGACAAGGAACAUUGUGCUCAUUCCAGGAGAGGGAAGCACCACUGAGUGGCCUCGAAGACUCCCUCUCUCAGAGAUCAUGGUGCAUGGAGUGCCGCAGCGAGGGCUCCCGCCUACCUGUUCAGCUGAGCUUUCACCACUCCCAGCCCUUCACAUCAGACCUGGAGGAGGGAAGAGAAAGGCACUGAACUGACCAAGUCCCUUCUGUAUGCUGGACACGAGACACCUCUCUGCGGUGCCAAGAGGAAGGGUCCACCUUCCCAUGUCACAGGUCCCCAAGGUCACGGGGCUUCUUUGUCCUGUAGAUGAAGAACCAGAUAUUCCAUUCAUGUUAAAGUAUAACAGCUUUGAGAUAACAGAUUCAAGUGUGACUCCAAGUAGGCUGUGUAGUUGGAACAGCAAGCAAAUCGCUGAUCGUGAAAUUUCAGGCAUUGGAUGGAGAAGAUGUGCCUCCAACAGCCUGGAUAAGACUGGCAAUACCGCCCUCCUGGCUGGGAACUGGGCUUCCCCUGCCAGACCCUGUCGAGUGGACUGUCAUGGUGGGUGCCCUUGCUUUCCUUUCCUGCUACGCUGCAGGUUCUGUGAGGCAGAGACGCGGUUUGUGUUGCUGGCCAUGAAUUUUAUGUUUCUGGCACAUUACGGGUGCUCCAGAAAUAUGUGCUGCCCGAAUAAAUCCCAUUUCAGAGCUGAGGGACCACUAAUCCCGAGACGUUAA
Molecule: long non-coding RNA, 827 nt
Filed under: Oryctolagus cuniculus (rabbit)
Lineage: Eukaryota; Metazoa; Chordata; Mammalia; Lagomorpha; Leporidae
Description: lncRNA (ENSOCUG00000031238.1)
Source: RNAcentral